Molecule: ribosomal RNA, 497 nt
Filed under: uncultured bacterium
Lineage: Bacteria
Description: partial 16S ribosomal RNA
Rfam family: Bacterial small subunit ribosomal RNA
Source: RNAcentral
GAUGAACGCUGGCGGCGUGCCUAAUACAUGCAAGUCGAGCGAACGGACGAGAAGCUUGCUUCUCUGAUGUUAGCGGCGGACGGGUGAGUAACACGUGGAUAACCUACCUAUAAGACUGGGAUAACUUCGGGAAACCGGAGCUAAUACCGGAUAAUAUUUUGAACCGCAUGGUUCAAUAGUAAAAGACGGUCUUGCUGUCACUUAUAGAUGGAUCCGCGCUGCAUUAGCUAGUUGGUAAGGUAACGGCUUACCAAUGCAACGAUGCAUAGCCGACCUGAGAGGGUGAUCGGCCACACUGGAACUGAGACACGGUCCAGACUCCUACGGGAGGCAGCAGUAGGGAAUCUUCCGCAAUGGGCGAAAGCCUGACGGAGCAACGCCGCGUGAGUGAUGAAGGUCUUCGGAUCGUAAAACUCUGUUAUUAGGGAAGAACAUAUGUGUAAGUAACUGUGCACAUCUUGACGGUACCUAAUCAGAAAGCCACGGCUAACUACGUG